Molecule: ribosomal RNA, 253 nt
Filed under: uncultured bacterium
Lineage: Bacteria
Description: partial 16S ribosomal RNA
Rfam family: Bacterial small subunit ribosomal RNA
Source: RNAcentral
UACGUAGGUGGCAAGCGUUGUCCGGAAUUACUGGGUGUAAAGGGAGCGCAGGCGGGAAGCCAAGUCAGCUGUGAAAACUACGGGCUUAACUUGUAGACUGCAGUUGAAACUGGUUUUCUUGAGUGAAGUAGAGGUUGGCGGAAUUCCGAGUGUAGCGGUGAAAUGCGUAGAUAUUCGGAGGAACACCGGUGGCGAAGGCGGCCAACUGGGCUUUAACUGACGUUGAGGCUCGAAAGUGUGGGGAGCAAGCAGG